Molecule: long non-coding RNA, 513 nt
Organism: Cyprinus carpio (common carp)
Lineage: Eukaryota; Metazoa; Chordata; Actinopteri; Cypriniformes; Cyprinidae
Source: Ensembl
AGGAUGGCAGGACUCAUUUGAUCUGCAUUACCAUGAGAGGCAUGCUCGUGCAUUGUGUGACUGGUUUGUGCCCUCAGUAUCCGCCACAGAAAAACCGAACGCACUAAACAAAUUUAUGGAUCCUGUAACCCAUAAUGCAAAAUCUGAGACGCACUCAAGAAAUCCAGAAGCUCAUUUCACAUGAUCUCUCAGGCUGGGUGUGGGACACACGCUGUCUUAUUCAUGUGUCCCGUGCUGUGCUGACUGAGCCUCAGGUUUUGGCUUUGCUGGAAGAUCUAUGCUACUGUGGUAAUUUGAGAGUCUAGGUUUUGGAAUUGGCCUGACUACGCUCUGCUUUUUGGCCUUGGGUUCAGAAGAAAACCAAUGGUCUUCUGACCAUCACGCAUCAAUCACUCAGCCAGGCUUUUAACCUGUUGUUGCACGGUUUGGAUGGUUUUAUGUUAUUUGUCUUAUUCUCCUUUAUUUUAUUUAAAUUUGCCACAAAAUAGUUGCUUUAUGUAGCCAAACCUUUGU